Molecule: ribosomal RNA, 465 nt
Filed under: uncultured bacterium
Lineage: Bacteria
Description: partial 16S ribosomal RNA
Rfam family: Bacterial small subunit ribosomal RNA
Source: RNAcentral
GACGAACGCUGGCGGCGUGCUUAACACAUGCAAGUCGUACGGUAAGGCCCUUUCGGGGGUACACGAGUGGCGAACGGGUGAGUAACACGUGAGUAACCUGCCCACAACUUUGGGAUAACGCUAGGAAACUGGUGCUAAUACUGGAUAUGUGCUCCUGCUGCAUGGUGGGGGUUGGAAAGCUCCGGCGGUUGUGGAUGGACUCGCGGCCUAUCAGCUUGUUGGUGGGGUAGUGGCCUACCAAGGCGGCGACGGGUAGCCGGCCUGAGAGGGUGACCGGCCACAUUGGGACUGAGAUACGGCCCAGACUCCUACGGGAGGCAGCAGUGGGGAAUAUUGCACAAUGGGCGCAAGCCUGAUGCAGCAACGCCGCGUGCGGGAUGACGGCCUUCGGGUUGUAAACCGCUUUCUGCAGGGACGAAGCUUUUUGUGACGGUACCUGCAGAAGAAGCACCGGCUAACUACGUG